This 309-nucleotide long non-coding RNA is filed under the name Bos taurus (domestic cattle). Its description in RNAcentral is "long non-coding RNA NONBTAT019294". The record is from RNAcentral. Lineage: Eukaryota; Metazoa; Chordata; Mammalia; Artiodactyla; Bovidae.
GCAUUCUAUUGCCUGACAUGCCCAUUUUAGAGUUUCCUAUUUUAGAGCUGACUGAUUUUCAGAUAACAUAUGGUGGUCCAAGUAAUUGGGAAAUUGGCAGACCUGUCAAGAAAGUCUGCUGGAUGAGACAAAAAUGCCAAUGUACAUAAAGUGUCUCAGAAGUUACAUUUACUAUUUUUUUUAUCAAAUAGUGAAGUAAAAAUAUCUGAUUGACCCCUAAAAAGGAUAUUUUUUUAGUGGCAAGUGUUUUCAAAAGUAGUUUUUAGGUCAUUGAUAAAAUAAAUUGCUUUUAAAAAUACAUAGAAAAAU